RNAcentral lists this ribosomal RNA (460 nucleotides) under uncultured bacterium. Its description in RNAcentral is "partial 16S ribosomal RNA". It matches the Rfam family "Bacterial small subunit ribosomal RNA", at positions 338 to 795 of the family's 1533-position model. The record is from RNAcentral.
CCUACGGGAGACUGCAGUGAGGAAUAUUGGUCAAUGGACGAGAGUCUGAACCAGCCAAGUAGCGUGAAGGAUGACUGCCCUAUGGGUUGUAAACUUCUUUUAUAUGGGAAUAAAAUGUUCCACGUGUGGGAUUUUGUAUGUACCAUAUGAAUAAGGAUCGGCUAACUCCGUGCCAGCAGCCGCGGUAAUACGGAGGAUCCGAGCGUUAUCCGGAUUUAUUGGGUUUAAGGGGAGCGUAGGUGGAUUGUUAAGUCAGUUGUGAAAGUUUGCGGCUCAACCGUAAAAUUGCAGUUGAAACUGGCAGUCUUGAGUACAGUAGAGGUGGGCGGAAUUCGUGGUGUAGCGGUGAAAUGCUUAGAUAUCACGAAGAACUCCGAUUGCGAAAGCAGUUCACUGGACUGCAACUGACACUGAGGCUCGAAAGUGUGGGUAUCAAACAGGAUUAGAUACCCGAGUAGUC